Molecule: long non-coding RNA, 664 nt
Filed under: Marmota monax (woodchuck)
Lineage: Eukaryota; Metazoa; Chordata; Mammalia; Rodentia; Sciuridae
Source: RNAcentral
CAUUGGUCAACAGGUCAGCGGUGCUGAGCACUUGGUAAGUGCCCCCUGAGCUGGCUUUGUGCAGGGCCUGGCUUUACCCUUGGGUUUGUUGCUGGGGGAUAGGGGCACCCUCUGUUCUGGGCCGCGCCUGCUGCUUCACCAGCCCCAGAUGGAAAGCUCCCCCUAAGGCCCCAGCCAUCGCCUACCACUGGUCUUUCUGCCACUCAUACUGUUACUGUUACUUCUGUCCUUUCCAGAGAGGGCCCCAUGGGGUGAGUAGUCCAUGCCACUGCACAUGGGGGACCCUGGCAGAGACCCCCUCUUUGAAUGAAUGAAAUGGAAAGGUAGAUGGAAAAGAAUUUUGUGUCUCAUAAACAUACAGGAUAGGUGCUUGUGACUGUCCACAUGCUCCACGGAGGACAGAUAGCACCUGGCUGAGGAGAAGACCAUUAGGGUUUAAACCAGAGGGACCAGGCUGCCAUCUGAGUUCUGCAACUUACUAACCCUGAGGCCAGGGGAAGGAACUUCCCCUCCCCUGUUUCCUCGUCUGGCAAAUGGGGGUAGUGAAAUAGCUGCUUCUGCACGUGCUGUGGAAACAGUGGACACGCUGGGCAGAGAAGCGCCUGUCAGACCAGUCAGGUCCUCAAUUCAGUGCAAACUUAUUAGGCACCUACUGUGUGCCGUU